This is a non-coding RNA of Castor canadensis (American beaver), 1745 nucleotides long. NCBI's taxonomy places the organism in Eukaryota, Metazoa, Chordata, Mammalia, Rodentia, Castoridae. The record is from RefSeq and is a predicted model, not a curated record.
AAAAAGUAAAUAAUUUUCAAUGUAAGAAGUAACUAGUUAUCAACUUUUAUUAAUUUUCUCUACAAAUGGUACAUUUUGGCUCUUGGUUGCCAGCUGUUUGUUUUUAAGUGGUAGAAAGAAUUGAAACUAUAUUGAAUAUUGGUGUUCAAAACUGAACUUUUCCUACUUUUUUUUCAUUCAGUUAUUUGGUGAUGUUUGUUUCCACUGCAACCGUGUCAUAGAAGGUGAUGUUGUCUCUGCCCUCAACAAGGCCUGGUGUGUGAGUUGCUUUGCCUGUUCCACUUGCAACACCAAACUGACUCUCAAGGAUAAGUUUGUUGAAAUUGAUCUAAAACCUGUCUGCAAACACUGUUAUGAGAAAAUGCCAGAAGAAUUUAAGAGGCGACUUGCCAAACGGGAGAGAGAAGCAAAGGAUAAAGACAAGCAAAAAAAGAAAAAGCCAGUCUGUUUGUAAACUUUUCUAUCCCUCCUGUCAUCAUCUUCACUAAUUUCUUCCUUGGAAUAAAUUUGUGGAAUUUGAUAUGAAGCCAGUCUGUAAGAAGUGCUAUGAGAAAUUUCCAUUGGAGCUGAAGAAAAGACUGAAGAAACUAGCUGAGACUUUAGGAAGGAAAUAACAUUCUUCAUUUGUUCUCUUCCAUGCAAAGUUUAGAGAUAACCAACAUUACUUGUCUUGAUCUACUCUUACUUAAAGCUAAAUCUCAAGGCAGUUGAGAGGGAAGAAUGGUUGUCUUCAUCUCUUUUUCUCAUUUAGAAAAACUGUAUAAACGGAUGUAGACACAGAUAGAAUGAAGAUUUGCCUUUGUUUACCAAUACCAGUUAGUUGACAUGUAGACAAUACAGGAAAAAAGUGCAUGGUUAAAUGUUAAAUUUUAAUGGAGACUGCCAAAAUUAAAUACAACUUUUCAAAAUGAAAAGAGUCAGCUUUUACAUGACUCACAUUACAAAAUAAACAUUUUGCUUUAUGUUCAAAAAAAAAUUACUCCCACUGUUAGGGAGAAUAUGGGAAAGGAAAAUAACCAACACAUCUUACACAAUUUUAGUGUGUUUAUCAGACUAAUAGUUGUAAAAUGAAUAUACACAUCUAAGAAACAAGUGUAUUCAGAACUACUUUGUUAAAUGCAACAAUUAUUAUGCUUAGUUAUCUAUUUUAGUUUCCUCUUAAGCUUUCUUUGUACGAAUACUUAACACAGUAGUGGUAGCUAGCUAGUAUAUAUCUUUUAAAUUUUUGUGCAAAAAAAUUAUACCAGGUAUCUGAAUAUACAGCAUACUUUGCAAUAUUGGGAAAAUGAAGUCCUUUUAAUGUGAUACAGCAAUUGUGCUUCUAAGCUUAAUGUCAAACAUAUAGUAUAUGAAUUAACAUGAAAUUGAAUAUUAUGUAGCUUGGAAUUAUCAUUUUUUGAAAAGUGGAUGUAUAUGUACUGAUCACAUUGCCUUUAUAACCAUGCCAAUAUCUAUGUUUUGUGCAUAAUCAAACUUGCCUUGCCUUAGAAAACACGUCUUCAUCAGGAAUUCUAGCUAUUUCAUAUAAUACUGGCCAAAACUAAGUGCAUUGACUGAGACCAGUAAACUCAAACUCAUUUACCACAGAUAUAAUUAAAAUAUUUUCUUAGAAGCCCACUGAAAUUUAAUUACUGUCAUUUUAUUGGACGAGAAUGAUGUUGAUACUUGUUUCAGGUUUUCCAUUUCAAAUAUCGUAAUUAAUUGGAUUUUUUUACUGUAAGGAGGAAGUCUAAGUGCUACUUUUA